ACAGUUAAACAAGAAAGUCAGACAUGGUGUCACUAUCAAUCCUGUUUGUAUUUUCUGUAAGGAAUUUCACUGGCGUCUCCCAACUUUGGAUAACUAUCCUCCGAGAAGGUCUUUACGGAUUCUUUUAAGUGUCUUUUCAUUUUUGCUUUUGCUCCAUCACAGUUUCCUCUGCCCCAGCAGCAGAAAGAAAGCUCUAGUUCCACUGGGAUCAACAGUUUCAUCUUAAAGAGAGCUCAACACCAUUGGGCUCCUGGGAAAGCAUCUUGACACACUGAGGCCGGUCAAGUGGUAAGCUAUGCCACAAUGGAGCUCAGCAAAUCAUUGUCUCAUCACAGAGAGAUGGAUUUCAUCCCUGGGCCUUGUGGAUGUGGAGGGGAACCGGGCUGAAUUCAUAUGUCGAGCUCUCUGCGGCUGCCACCGAGCCAGACUCCUCGUCCUCCAUCAUGAAGGAAUGCAAACAGCCGGGGCCCUUUAGCAUUUGUGCAAAUGUCAGAGAAAAGGACAGAUCUCAGGAAUUAACAGCAGCAGAGAUGGAGGAAGCUAAAAAACCUUCUCCAGAAGAAAUAGAUGGACUUGUGGUGCCAGCCGCUGGCUCCUCCACAGAGAGAAAUUUAUCAUAGGAAGCUCAGAGCCCAAGUUAAACAGUCAUGAAGACCAUAAUGACCCAGAGCUGAAUAUUUAGUUCAUAAAGUUAUAGUUCAUAAUGAGCAAAACUUUACGUAUUAACUCUGAAUGUGACUGAUAUUAAUUUAAAUUAUUUUAAAUUCUAGACAUGAUUUGGUUGUGUUUUGUAUCGUUGAUAUAUUUGUUGUCACGGUAAAUACAUAGUCAUAUUAAAAAACGGAACA
Long non-coding RNA from Micropterus dolomieu (smallmouth bass), 848 nucleotides. RefSeq lists it as uncharacterized. Lineage: Eukaryota; Metazoa; Chordata; Actinopteri; Centrarchiformes; Centrarchidae. The transcript has 3 exons. The record is from RefSeq and is a predicted model, not a curated record.